This 222-nucleotide unclassified non-coding RNA is filed under the name Melitaea cinxia (Glanville fritillary). RNAcentral describes it as "misc RNA ENSMCXG00005008092.1". The record is from RNAcentral. Lineage: Eukaryota; Metazoa; Arthropoda; Insecta; Lepidoptera; Nymphalidae.
AAAGACUUGAAAUUUAAAAUGUAUGCUCUAUAGAUGAUGAGAAGGCGUCCAAAUAAUGUAUAUUUAGAAAUCAACCCCUUUUUGGGGUUAAAACGGGGAUGGUAGGUUGACUCACUGAUCACGAAAUCUCCGAAACUAUAACACCUACAAACUUGAAAUUUGGCAGAAAGGCUCUUUAUAGGGCGUAGACAUCCGUUAAGAACGGAUUUUACGAAACUCGAC